This 263-nucleotide signal recognition particle RNA is filed under the name Candidatus Cloacimonadota bacterium. Its description in RNAcentral is "signal recognition particle sRNA large type". It matches the Rfam family "Bacterial large signal recognition particle RNA". Rfam says of the family: The signal recognition particle (SRP) is a universally conserved ribonucleoprotein involved in the co-translational targeting of proteins to membranes. Archaeal SRP consists of a 7S RNA and homologues of the eukaryotic SRP19 and SRP54 proteins. In most bacteria, the SRP consists of a 4.5S RNA and the Ffh protein (a homologue of the eukaryotic SRP54 protein). Lineage: Bacteria; Pseudomonadati; Candidatus Cloacimonadota. The record is from RNAcentral.
GUGUGCUAGGUGGGAAGUUAGCGGUGUCCUGUAACCCGCAAUCCGCUCCAGCGGGACCGAAUUCCUGCAUGAGAAUAUUGAUUUUCAUUUAAUGACUGAAAAGUGGUGUUGAGGAUCAAGCCUGACGCAAUUGUAAACUGUGAACCUUGUCAGAUCCGGAAGGAAGCAGCAAUAAACAGAGCUUAUGAUGUGCCGUUGGUCAACUUGAUUUGAGCUAACUAUCAGCGUGUUACCUGGAAUAGAUAUCGAUUGCAGGUGCACAC